RNAcentral lists this ribosomal RNA (454 nucleotides) under uncultured Prevotella sp. RNAcentral's name for it is "partial 16S ribosomal RNA". It matches the Rfam family "Bacterial small subunit ribosomal RNA", at positions 341 to 792 of the family's 1533-position model. The record is from RNAcentral. Lineage: Bacteria; Pseudomonadati; Bacteroidota; Bacteroidia; Bacteroidales; Prevotellaceae.
ACGGGAGGCAGCAGUGAGGAAUAUUGGUCAAUGGCCGAGAGGCUGAACCAGCCAAGUAGCGUGCAGGAUGACGGCCCUAUGGGUUGUAAACUGCUUUUGUGCGUGAUUAAAAGUCUCCACGUGUGGUGAUUUGCAGUUAGCGCGCGAAUAAGGACCGGCUAAUUCCGUGCCAGCAGCCGCGGUAAUACGGAAGGUCCUGGUGUUAUCCGGAUUUAUUGGGUUUAAAGGGAGCGUAGGCGGCUGAAUAAGCGUGUUGUGAAAUCCCGGGGCUCAACCCCGCGUGUGCAGCGCGAACUGUUCAGCUUGAGAGUACGCCAGGCAGGCGGAAUUCGUGGUGUAGCGGUGAAAUGCUUAGAUAUCACGAAGAACCCCGAUUGCGAAGGCAGCUUGCCGGAGUACUUCUGACGCUGAAGCUCGAAGGUGCGGGUAUCGAACAGGAUUAGAUACCCUGGUA